This 1373-nucleotide ribosomal RNA is filed under the name uncultured bacterium. RNAcentral's name for it is "bacterial SSU rRNA". It matches the Rfam family "Bacterial small subunit ribosomal RNA", at positions 28 to 1381 of the family's 1533-position model. The record is from RNAcentral.
GAUGAACGCUGGCGGCGUGCCUAAUACAUGCAAGUCGAGCGAACGGACGAGAAGCUUGCUUCUCUGAUGUUAGCGGCGGACGGGUGAGUAACACGUGGAUAACCUACCUAUAAGACUGGGAUAACUUCGGGAAACCGGAGCUAAUACCGGAUAAUAUUUUGAACCGCAUGGUUCAAAAGUGAAAGACGGUCUUGCUGUCACUUAUAGAUGGAUCCGCGCUGCAUUAGCUAGUUGGUAAGGUAACGGCUUACCAAGGCAACGAUGCAUAGCCGACCUGAGAGGGUGAUCGGCCACACUGGAACUGAGACACGGUCCAGACUCCUACGGGAGGCAGCAGUAGGGAAUCUUCCGCAAUGGGCGAAAGCCUGACGGAGCAACGCCGCGUGAGUGAUGAAGGUCUUCGGAUCGUAAAACUCUGUUAUUAGGGAAGAACAUAUGUGUAAGUAACUGUGCACAUCUUGACGGUACCUAAUCAGAAAGCCACGGCUAACUACGUGCCAGCAGCCGCGGUAAUACGUAGGUGGCAAGCGUUAUCCGGAAUUAUUGGGCGUAAAGCGCGCGUAGGGCGGUUUUUUAAGUCUGAUGUGAAAGCCCACGGCUCAACCGUGGAGGGUCAUUGGAAACUGGAAAACUUGAGUGCAGAAGAGGAAAGUGGAAUUCCAUGUGUAGCGGUGAAAUGCGCAGAGAUAUGGAGGAACACCAGUGGCGAAGGCGACUUUCUGGUCUGUAACUGACGCUGAUGUGCGAAAGCGUGGGGAUCAAACAGGAUUAGAUACCCUGGUAGUCCACGCCGUAAACGAUGAGUGCUAAGUGUUAGGGGGUUUCCGCCCCUUAGUGCUGCAGCUAACGCAUUAAGCACUCCGCCUGGGGAGUACGACCGCAAGGUUGAAACUCAAAGGAAUUGACGGGGACCCGCACAAGCGGUGGAGCAUGUGGUUUAAUUCGAAGCAACGCGAAGAACCUUACCAAAUCUUGACAUCCUUUGACAACUCUAGAGAUAGAGCCUUCCCCUUCGGGGGACAAAGUGACAGGUGGUGCAUGGUUGUCGUCAGCUCGUGUCGUGAGAUGUUGGGUUAAGUCCCGCAACGAGCGCAACCCUUAAGCUUAGUUGCCAUCAUUAAGUUGGGCACUCUAAGUUGACUGCCGGUGACAAACCGGAGGAAGGUGGGGAUGACGUCAAAUCAUCAUGCCCCUUAUGAUUUGGGCUACACACGUGCUACAAUGGACAAUACAAAGGGCAGCGAAACCGCGAGGUCAAGCAAAUCCCAUAAAGUUGUUCUCAGUUCGGAUUGUAGUCUGCAACUCGACUACAUGAAGCUGGAAUCGCUAGUAAUCGUAGAUCAGCAUGCUACGGUGAAUACGUUCCCGGGUCU